CUGAGCACUUAAAUGAGAGCUGCUGUUAGCAGAGGUUGCCAGUGGUGAAGUCUUUCAAAUGUAGUACGCAGACUUAAACUAGCUUCUAGAAUGAGCAGACAGAAAAGCAGUGAAAAGGUGAAAUGGGUGGCUUCUGCUUAAAGGCYGGAGGAGUGAAGGGAUGUCACUGUCAGAAUGAACUUUUAACCCAGGUGCCCCUGACUUCUAAAGCGAUAGGUUGCAGAUUGGGAGAAAGGAGUCAUUCUUGCACUGACAGACUUUCUCACAAAGUUCCAGAGUGAAAAUGGGCCACGGUGGGGGAACGGUUGGAGCCCGUCAGUCGAGCGAUUCCUGCGUUCUCAAGAGGGAUAUCGGAUAACAUGGUUGCUCUCUCAAGUAACUGACUUGCCAUGUUUGUUUAAUAUAUCUUCUUAUUUUGGAGGAGGAAGGGGCAUUUUACAGCUACAAUGUAAUCUGUAUAUACCAGCAGGCUGUUUUUUCCUUAGGAAUGUAUUGUUCUCCUAUAUAGUGCUUCACGUAUUACUUCACAGACAAUAGUGGGUAUUCAUCGGUUUGUUCAUGCCCGGGCUUACUGACAUCUUUUUACUGUACUGGGUUAUCUCUCUGGUGCCUUCAGCUACCUCCUCCUAGCAGAUACAUACCUUAAUUGGACUGAUUCUGUUCUGUCUGUAUAUUUGCAUGAGCAACUUUUCCUUCUGGGGAAUUGUAUAAAUACUAGAAGCUGUCUGUUACCAUCUGAAGACGUGACUGAUGAGUUUAAAAUAAAUACGUCCAAGCUGAACCCUUUCUCCGAGAAGAAAGGCAGCCUUUUUGCGCAUCAGCUAGACUACUACGACUGUUUCCAAAAGGCAUGUUUUCUCAACUCUGUAAUAUUUUCUCAUUCUGUUUUUUCAGUUUACACAGCAGAACUACAUCACUUUCAUAUUAAAACAGUAUUCUGAAGAAGUGUUUUCUUUAUAUUUUGUAUUUAUGUAGAUAUACAAACUGUAUUCACAUCAGAUAUGUAGCUUGUAACAGAGCUUGUGAAUGUCAUUGGGGGUAAGAUCUGAGGUGCGACACUGCGCCGUGAUCGGUGUUUUAAUUUCAAGACUGAUGUUACCCCACUAAAAAUUCCAAAGGCAAGCAA
RNAcentral lists this long non-coding RNA (1126 nucleotides) under Dromaius novaehollandiae (emu). Its description in RNAcentral is "lncRNA (ENSDNVG00000014634.1)". The record is from RNAcentral. Lineage: Eukaryota; Metazoa; Chordata; Aves; Casuariiformes; Dromaiidae.